AACGAACGCUGGCGGCAGGCUUAACACAUGCAAGUCGAACGGGUGUAGCAAUACAUCAGUGGCAGACGGGUGAGUAACACGUGGGAACCUUCCUAGGGGUACGGAACAACUCAGGGAAACUUGAGCUAAUACCGUAUACGUCCGUAAGGAGAAAGAUUUAUCGCCCUUAGACGGGCCCGCGUCGGAUUAGCUAGUUGGUGGGGUAACGGCCUACCAAGGCGACGAUCCGUAGCUGAUCUGAGAGGAUGAUCAGCCACACUGGGACUGAGACACGGCCCAGACUCCUACGGGAGGCAGCAGUGGGGAAUAUUGGACAAUGGGGAAACCCUGAUCCAGCAAUGCCGCGUGUGUGAAGAAGGCCUGCGGGUUGUAAAGCACUUUUGGCAGGGAAGAAAGCACUGGCCGAAUACGCCAGUGUGUUGACGUAACCUGCAGAAGAAGCACCGGCUAACUCUGUGCCAGCAGCCGCGGUAAGUGACGUCAGA
Molecule: ribosomal RNA, 485 nt
Filed under: uncultured bacterium
Lineage: Bacteria
Description: bacterial SSU rRNA
Rfam family: Bacterial small subunit ribosomal RNA
Source: RNAcentral